AUCACUUCUUUGCCUUUUGGCUAAGAUCAAGUGCAGUUUUUUUUAUAUGACAUAUUAAGAGUUAUUUUGAUUCAUUUAUUUUAUAAAUCUUAGGACACUGUAUAGGUAAGCAGCAGGCUGCUUAAUUACAAAGACUGCCAGAUUGACUUACAGAAACCUUUCUUUGAGUUCCUUUUCC
Molecule: small nuclear RNA, 178 nt
Filed under: Cavia porcellus (domestic guinea pig)
Lineage: Eukaryota; Metazoa; Chordata; Mammalia; Rodentia; Caviidae
Description: U2 spliceosomal RNA
Rfam family: U2 spliceosomal RNA
About the family: U2 is a small nuclear RNA (snRNA) component of the spliceosome (involved in pre-mRNA splicing). Complementary binding between U2 snRNA (in an area lying towards the 5' end but 3' to hairpin I) and the branchpoint sequence (BPS) of the intron results the bulging out of an unpaired adenosine, on the BPS, which initiates a nucleophilic attack at the intronic 5' splice site, thus starting the first of two transesterification reactions that mediate splicing.
Source: Rfam by way of RNAcentral